CUGUUGGUAUUUGGGGGGGCCAAAAAAGUAAAGAGAGGGAUGGCGUUUCUCUUGCUUUUGGUGUAACAGCCCCCAGUGGAGGCUUGCAUCAUGGUCCAUAAUUAAAUCAGUGGUAGAGCGCGCCUCUGAUAAUUGUAUCAUUGUGUCUGGGCUGUGAGGGUUCUCAGCCGUGAAUAGUUCAACGUCUAUCAGUAUCGAUUUUCUCAUAAAUUUGAGUCUGUUGUUUUUAAAUUAUCAAAGAGAAUUACAUAUCAGUUCUGUGAUUUAAUCUAGUGUAAUUCUUUUCCUUUUACUUUGUAAUUACCACGUUGUCAUACGUUGAUGAGGAAACAUCUGGACAUGAUCGUGCAUGAAUAUAAAUCGGACCAGAUUAUCAGGAAUUGAUAUUUAUAUAUUGAUUUUGUGCUUAAAUGGAAGGAGGAAAGGCAAUUUG
Molecule: long non-coding RNA, 433 nt
Filed under: Nicotiana benthamiana
Lineage: Eukaryota; Viridiplantae; Streptophyta; Magnoliopsida; Solanales; Solanaceae
Description: long non-coding RNA (NBEN_LNC021581)
Source: RNAcentral